Molecule: ribosomal RNA, 1188 nt
Filed under: Triticum aestivum (bread wheat)
Lineage: Eukaryota; Viridiplantae; Streptophyta; Magnoliopsida; Poales; Poaceae
Description: partial small subunit ribosomal RNA
Source: RNAcentral
AUGGUUCUUGGAGCGUUGAUUAGUCCAGCUUUAGUGCAAUGGAGCUUCCUGCUAUGCGGCAGCCUGGGCUUUGUGCUUCUCUGGCAAGCUGCCAAGCUAAUAGACCGGCUGUGGUGGCACCCGCGGCGGCUGGAGCGGGCACUGCGCGCCCAGGGUCUCCAUGGCACCUCGUACCGCUUCCUCGUCGGCGACGUCGUUGACUAUGAGCGGCGGAGCAAGGCGGCGCCCUCAAGGUCGAUGCCGCUGCGCUGCCACAACAUAGCCCCUCUCGUCGCGCCGCUGCUCCACGACAUUGUCCGGGAGCACGGCAAGGCGUGUAUAUCCUGGUUUGGUCCGUACCCUAAGGUGACCAUCAGCGACCCUGAUCUGACCAAGGAGGUGAUGUCCAACAAGUUCGGCCACUUCGAGAAGCUCAAGUUUCCGGCGCUGUCCAGGCUGCUCGCCGGAGGCGUGGCGACGUACGAGGGCGAGCAAUGGGUCAAGCACAAGAGGAUCCUCAACCCUGCAUUCCAUCUCGAGAAGCUCAAGCUCAUGAUGCCAGCGUUUUCUACUUGCUGCCAAGAACUUGUGAGCAGAUGGACGCUAUCUCUUGGUUCUGAUGGUACAUAUGAGGUGGAUGCCUGUCCAGAGUUCCAAAGACUCAGCGGAGAUGUCAUUUCUCGCACCGCGUUUGGCAGUAACUACGCUGAAGGUGCCAGGAUUUUCCAGUUGCAGUCCGUGCAAACUCCACGCCUCCUGGCCAGGGUUAAGAAGAUUAUCAUUCCCGGCUACUUGUCCUUGCCAACCAAAAACAAUAGAAGGAUGAGUGAAAUUAAUAAUGAAAUUGAAUCAAUUCUGCUCAAUCUAAUCAGAAAAAGAAUGCAAGCUAUGCAAGAAGGAGAAAAUACCAAAAAUGACUUGCUCGGUUUGAUGCUUGAGUCCAACAUGAGGGGCACAGAUGAGAAUGGCCAAUGCAUCUCAGGAAUGACGAUUGAUGAGGUCGUGGAGGAAUGCAAGUUGUUCUAUUUUGCAGGAACAGAAACAACAUCAAUAUUACUCACAUGGACAAUGGUCAUACUAAGUAUGCAUCCCGAGUGGCAAGAUCGUGCAAGGGAGGAGGUCCUUGGCCUAUUUGGAAAGAAUAAAAUUGAGCACGAAGGCUUUGCCCGACUAAAAACGGUGACCAUGAUUCUUUACGAGGUGCUCUGA